GAUGAACGCUGGCGGCGUGCCUAAUACAUGCCAGUCGAGCGAACGGACGAGAAGCUUGCUUUUCUGAUGUUAGCGGCGGACGGGUGAGUAACACGUGGAUAACCUACCUAUAAGACUGGGAUAACUUCGGGAAACCGGAGCUAAUACCGGAUAAUAUUUUGAACCGCAUGGUUCAAAAGUGAAAGACGGUCUUGCUGUCACUUAUAGAUGGAUCCGCGCUGCAUUAGCUAGUUGGUAAGGUAACGGCUUACCAAGGCAACGAUGCAUAGCCGACCUGAGAGGGUGAUCGGCCACACUGGAACUGAGACACGGUCCAGACUCCUACGGGAGGCAGCAGUAGGGAAUCUUCCGCAAUGGGCGAAAGCCUGACGGAGCAACGCCGCGUGGGUGAUGAAGGUCUUCGGAUCGUAAAACUCUGUUAUUAGGGAAGAACAUAUGUGUAAGUAACUGUGCACAUCUUGACGGUACCUAAUCAGAAAGCCACGGCUAACUACGUG
RNAcentral lists this ribosomal RNA (497 nucleotides) under uncultured bacterium. RNAcentral describes it as "partial 16S ribosomal RNA". It matches the Rfam family "Bacterial small subunit ribosomal RNA", at positions 28 to 507 of the family's 1533-position model. The record is from RNAcentral.